CCCUAAUGACUUUGUGAGUCAAGUGAGGCUGCUUCUCUCUCCGUCACUGUGAGCACAUCCUGUUUCCGUCAGCACAGGAAGUGUAGCCUCCGUGCAAUCAGCCAGGACUGUCCAGGUUCUGAGGGAUGUGGUCUCACUGCUCGGCUCCCUGCAGAGAACUCACAGAAAAAGGAAGCCAUUGAAGUUACACGAGAUGUUGUCUACCUGCAGGCUCUGGAAGAGGAACGCUGUGUUGAGGAGGAAUGCCACAGAGAGGGAAAAUCUGAAUUGAGUUUGUCAUGUAGUUAAAGCAUGAAGGUACUCUGCAGAUGUAAAGGCCCUUUGAGCCUCUCAAGACAGCCAUUGUGCAAUUUAUAAAUGACAGUCAAGGCGCAUUUUGGUUCUUUUCAUUGUGAAUUAAAAACUUU
Molecule: long non-coding RNA, 407 nt
Organism: Morone saxatilis (striped sea-bass)
Lineage: Eukaryota; Metazoa; Chordata; Actinopteri; Moronidae
Exons: 3
Source: RefSeq, a predicted model, not a curated record